GACGAACGCUGGCGGCGUGCUUAACACAUGCAAGUCGAGCGGUAAGGCCCUUUCGGGGGUACACGAGCGGCGAACGGGUGAGUAACACGUGGGUGACCUGCCCUUAGCUCUGGGAUAAGCCUGGGAAACUGGGUCUAAUACCGGAUAUGACCUCAUGACGCAUGUUGUGGGGUGGAAAGCCUUGUGCGGCUAGGGAUGGACCCGCGGCCUAUCAGCUUGUUGGUGGGGUAAUGGCCACCAAGGCGACGACGGGUAGCCGGCCUGAGAGGGCGACCGGCCACACUGGGACUGAGACACGGCCCAGACUCCUACGGGAGGCAGCAGUGGGGAAUUUUGCGCAAUGGCGAAAGCCUGACGCAGCGACGCCGCGUGAGGGAUGACGGCCU
RNAcentral lists this ribosomal RNA (386 nucleotides) under uncultured bacterium. Its description in RNAcentral is "bacterial SSU rRNA". It matches the Rfam family "Bacterial small subunit ribosomal RNA", at positions 28 to 417 of the family's 1533-position model. The record is from RNAcentral.